Molecule: ribosomal RNA, 473 nt
Filed under: Pseudoalteromonas sp. CC84
Lineage: Bacteria; Pseudomonadati; Pseudomonadota; Gammaproteobacteria; Alteromonadales; Pseudoalteromonadaceae
Description: bacterial SSU rRNA
Rfam family: Bacterial small subunit ribosomal RNA
Source: RNAcentral
UGGCUCAGAUUGAACGCUGGCGGCAGGCCUAACACAUGCAAGUCGAGCGGAAACGAAGAGGAGCUUGCUCCUUUGGCGUCGAGCGGCGGACGGGUGAGUAAUGCUUGGGAAUGUGCCUUAUGGUGGGGGACAACAGUUGGAAACGACUGCUAAUACCGCAUAAUGUCUUCGGACCAAAGUGGGGGACCUUCGGGCCUCACGCCAUAAGAUCAGCCCAAGUGGGAUUAGCUAGUUGGUAAGGUAAUGGCUUACCAAGGCGACGAUCCCUAGCUGGUUUGAGAGGAUGAUCAGCCACACUGGGACUGAGACACGGCCCAGACUCCUACGGGAGGCAGCAGUGGGGAAUAUUGCACAAUGGGCGCAAGCCUGAUGCAGCCAUGCCGCGUGUGUGAAGAAGGCCUUCGGGUUGUAAAGCACUUUCAGUAAGGAGGAAAGGUUAAGUGUUAAUAGCACUUAGCUGUGACGUACUACAG